GCGCUCGUAGUUCAAUCGGAUAGAACACCAGAUUGCGGAUCUGGUGGUUGAGAGUUCGAGUCUCUCCGAGCGCA
This 74-nucleotide transfer RNA is filed under the name Candidatus Curtissbacteria bacterium RBG_16_39_7. RNAcentral describes it as "tRNA-Arg". It matches the Rfam family "tRNA". From Rfam's summary of the family: Transfer RNA (tRNA) molecules are approximately 80 nucleotides in length. Their secondary structure includes four short double-helical elements and three loops (D, anti-codon, and T loops). The record is from RNAcentral. Lineage: Bacteria; Candidatus Curtissiibacteriota.